AGGGUUUGAUUCUGGCUCAGGACGAACGCUGGCGGCGCGCCUAACACAUGCAAGUCGAACGAGAGAUGAGGAGCUUGCUCUUCAAAUCGAGUGGCGAACGGGUGAGUAACGCGUGAGGAACCUGCCUCAAAGAGGGGGACAACAGUUGGAAACGACUGCUAAUACCGCAUAAGCCCACGGCUCGGCAUCGAGCAGAGGGAAAAGGAGUGAUCCGCUUUGAGAUGGCCUCGCGUCCGAUUAGCUAGUUGGUGAGGUAACGGCCCACCAAGGCGACGAUCGGUAGCCGGACUGAGAGGUUGAACGGCCACAUUGGGACUGAGACACGGCCCAG
Molecule: ribosomal RNA, 331 nt
Filed under: uncultured bacterium
Lineage: Bacteria
Description: bacterial SSU rRNA
Rfam family: Bacterial small subunit ribosomal RNA
Source: RNAcentral